AACGACAAAGAAGGUUAUAAUAUUCCAAUCCUGGCGAUCAACAUUAAUUAUAAACAAAUAUCUGACAGACGCGCUCAGUUUUCAAAGAAAAUAGUAUUUAAAUAUAAUUUCAUUCGGUCAAAUAUUCGUUCGCUAGAAUAUUUACUCCAAACUUUAUUAUUUCAAUAAGUAUUUAAUUAUUGCUAAUAUGGGAUCCAAUAUAGUAUUCAAGUCAGGUAUCUCUAUGUUGAAAAAAAUGUGUAAGGUCCUAAAGUACUGGUUGGCGAUCUGUAGCAGAUGGCGGCUAAGUGUCUAUGUUCUCUUUGCCAUAAUGAUCCUCGGAAUUAUUCCACAAUUUCGAAUUUCUUCGAAACCUGAAAUUGUAGUAGAGAGAAAACCACUGGGUUUGGGAGACACACAUAGUAUAGUUGAAAAUCGCGCCAUGAAGUACUGUUUACAAGAAAAAGGCAAAGGAUGCGAAAGACCCAAUAUCGAUCCAUUUUCUGCAGAAGUUAUGGAAUAUAUAAAGGAUAUGCCGAAAGUUACUUGUAAAGGCUUUGAUUGGGUAAUAUGUAAGAAAUCAGAAUGCUAUGUUACCCAAGAAAUAUUCAAUAACAUAACAGAUGUCAGUUGUACUUACAGCGAUAUAAUAUAUGUAAAUGAUCGAGAAUAUUAUCUCUCCAACAAAACUAUAGUGAACGGAGGAGACAAGUAUACACUUAAUAGAAGUGACCACGUCAGAGUGUCAUGUACUGGUAGAUAUAAGCACACUUUUAGUUUUAUUUCACCGCGAUGGGAAGGCGUUAAAAUGGGUUUACGCCCAGUGGAGACACUACCAGUGCCUCCAAACCGUGAAGAUUCCUACAACGUUAUGAUCCUAGGCUUCGAUUCUACAUCUCACAAUGGAUUUAUAAGGAAAAUGCCGAAGAGUUACAAGUAUAUAUCCAAAAAAGCUAUCACCAUGAACGGUUACAACAUCGUUGGUGAUGGAACCCCUGCAGCUUUAUUUGCCAUACUUACUGGGAAGCCAGAAGAACAACAUCCCGAUUCAAGAAUAAAAGUAACAAACAAAGUUUACGUUGACCAUACAUCAUUUAUUUUCCACAAAUUGAAGAAUCUUGGAUAUCAAACAGCAUAUAUGGAAGAUGAGCCACGAACAGGAACCUUCCAGUUAAGGUUCAAUGGUUUUCGACAGCAACCAGCAGACCGUUAUCUUCGUCCAUUCUUCCUCGAAGAUAAGAAAAACAUGUUUUCGGAAAAGUUCUGCAUUGGUGCCACUCCUGUGUAUAAGUUUCUGAUAGAUAUGUCCGCUGAGCUAUUUCAGUUGGAUGGCAAAAAAUUUUGUUUCACAUUUUCAUCAGACAUUAGUCAUGAUAACUUCGACUUGAUAUCGUCGGCAGAUGAUUCACUUUUGUCAUUCAUGGAGACUUGGAGUGCCAAACACUUGGAAGACACUCUUCUUAUUAUCAUGGGCGACCAUGGUAGCAGGUUCUCAAAACUACAAGAAACAUAUCAAGGCAAACUGGAGGAAUAUUUACCCCUACUUUCUAUCUUCCUUCCGGAAAAACUCAAACGACUCAGGCCUGACGCUUUGGCAGCACUAAAUCAGAACGCUUAGAGUCACAACACCCUUUGAUUUACACACCACAAUAUUAGACGUGCUGGAUUUGAAAGACUUAAGCGAUAAGUACACAGUCCCUGGUUGUGAUUUACCCAGAGCUUUGAGUUUACUAGAGCCGAUACCUGCAAACCGCUCGUGCGCCGAUGCUGGCAUCGCUCGACAUUGGUGCAUAUGUACGAAGUGGCGCAAUGUGACUACAUCGUCUCCUAUGUACAACGAAAUAGCAACUGCUCUUGCCGACUAUAUUAACUUUCUUACUUCAGAACAACGAUCGAAGUGCGAAAGAAGACAACUUACAUCUAUAGAAUCAGUUUGGAUACAGGAAGUUGACGAUCAGUUGUUGAAAUAUGUAUUCUAUAAGGACGAAGAUGCAUUUCUUGGAAAUCCUCAAGCUUCGGCUCCAAGGACACCUUAUGAAUACUAUAUAGCUACGAUAAUAAUGAGUCCUGGACGAGCAGUAUUCGAAGGAUCGGUUAUUUAUGAUACACAAACAAAUGUGUCUUCAAUCACUAGAAAUGAAAUAUCAAGACUUAGUGCAUACAAAAACGAACCGCACUGUAUCACCGCAACGCACCCACAUCUAAAUCCAUUCUGCUAUUGCAAAGACCUACUUUGAAGUUAAUCUGUGAAUGUUACGACUAAGCCUAU
Spodoptera frugiperda (fall armyworm) is the source of this 2248-nucleotide RNA transcript. RefSeq lists it as uncharacterized. The record is from RefSeq and is a predicted model, not a curated record. The transcript has 13 exons. Lineage: Eukaryota; Metazoa; Arthropoda; Insecta; Lepidoptera; Noctuidae.